Rhagoletis zephyria (snowberry fruit fly) is the source of this 3092-nucleotide long non-coding RNA. RefSeq lists it as uncharacterized. Lineage: Eukaryota; Metazoa; Arthropoda; Insecta; Diptera; Tephritidae. The record is from RefSeq and is a predicted model, not a curated record.
AAAUAUAAAAUAAAAUAAUUUUUUUUUAAGUUCAAUUCAUAUAUAUGUAUGGAAAAUUUUAAGAUCUUUUCAGACCACUGGAAGUUAUUACAUGCAAAAAAUUUACCAACAAUUUUUAAAAUUAACUUUUACGAUUUAUUAAAUUUUAAAAAUUUAUAGUUUUUCUAUUUUUUUUUUAAUUUAAAUGUAUUUUUUAUAUCGCCCCAAAUACCUUUAAAAAGAGGCCAGAACCAUUUUUGUAGCUGCACUAGUUUUUGAGAAAUUGUGAAAUUUUGGACUUUCAAUUUUUUUUUUUCUUUUUGCCGAACUGUGUUAUAUGAUAAAAAAAGUUCUGGCCAAAAUUCAUCCACAUCGGAAAUGGUCAAUUCCAACCAUUUGUCGAUUUGGCAUGGAUCAACCCAUUUGUAUUUACUAGUGUUGGGCAAAAGUACUCAGAACUCGAUUCUCAAAAGUAUCGACAGCAACCGAUUUUUAAAAGUAUCGAUACUGAGUACUCCAAAGAACUCAGUACUCACAAAAGAACUCGAAAGCACUUAGUACUCAAAAAAGGAACCCAAAAGUACUCAGUACUCAUAAAUACUGUGUUGCAAUAAUGGCUUUGAUACAUGUACUCAAGAUCGAUUCAAAGUACUCAGUAUUAAGUGUCGAAUAGACUCAAAAAGUACUGAGUUUUAUUUACAUUCAACGGUAUUAAGAAAGGAUUGUACUCAAUUUGCAGUUUCAAUAAUUUUCAACUACCCAGUGACGUAAUUUGGGAUUCAUAUAUUAAUUUGAAUAAAAUACUGCCAGUUUGUGAGAUUUGUCCACUGAAAUGUUACCAAUAUGUGUAUAUUUAAAGAAAGUAGUCAGUACUCUGAAAAAUACUCGAUCCUUAAAAGUAUCGAUACCAAAGAACUCGAUUCUCAAAAAAACUCUGUACUUCCCAACACUAGUAUUUACAUAUACAUAUUAUUCCAAAAAUAUUAAAUUAAUAAUUUUUGGGAUUGAUAGGUAUUUAGGACUGAUUUUCUUAUUUCCAAAUCGGCUGUUUUCUUCGUAAACUUGCGCUAGUACAUCAUCCCGCGUGCAGGCGGUUCCUUCUGCAGUAGACCUUUCCGUUUUGUUCUUGACGCUUGGCGCCCUUGCUUUCGAAGGAUCCUUUCACUGGAGCGUCGCCAUUCAUACGUUUCUAUGCGUUCAACUAAAUGUACCCAUUUCAUUUUCGUCGCCCAUGUAAACAGGGCUAUAGAAUAAGAAUAGAUCUCUCGAAAUGUAGUAAGGCCUUCUCAUCUAUGUUCGACUUCGUUCACGUUUCAGCGCCAUACAAAAAAAAAAACACGGGCAUGACGAGACUUCAAACGUGUAGGCUUUGUUCGCCGGAAGAGUGAUCUUCGCGUUAUUGUUGAUCUUCCUGCUGAAUUGUAAGUAGACAUAUGUAGGCCUUCACUACUUCAAAUUUAUGACUGGCAACAGUGAAGUGGGGCCCAAUAAGCGAAGAUUUCUCUAUAGCUUCUUUUAAUAAGCUGGAAAAUGCUGCGCUGAGGUCCCUGGUUCCUGAUCGGUUUGUUGGCAAUUUUUUUCACCAGUACUUUACCGAUUUGGUUCCCUAGAUUUUUUGUAGCUCAGCCUUAGAGAAGCCUUAGGAAAAAACUUUAUUGUGCAGAAUUUAAUAAGAGUGAUAAAUGCCUGCUCCAGACUUUGGACAGUAGAAUUUGCUGGACAUAAAUCCUAUCUAAUUACUAGCUAGCUGGCUAUUGUACCGUCUUUAAAACUACAUUAGAUUAGGUAAGGGGUUGAAGUGGCUACCGGCGUUUAGGUGCAUGGGUGCCUUCCAGGUGUAGAUAAUGGUGAGAUCAGCCCUAUUAAGAAGAUAUAAUUCCAUGAAUGAGUUGGCAUGAGCGUCUCUUGUCGAAGCUUGGCCAGAUUUCUCAUUUCGUCCUUGAAGUGGGUAAUGUUAGGGUAAUUCGUUAGAGUACAGAUGCCACCGAAAUUAAAGUAUUUCCAUUAUUUUAAUGCAUUUAGUCCUAAAGCAUUACAGCUUGUCUGAAAUUUCCCAAAAAAGGUUUUCUGGCAGAAAGUUCAAGUGAGCUUUCUAGGGCUGUAGAAGGCGUAGUGGGCAGCACACCAUUGAGUUGAACGCAUGCCGAGAGUUAGAAAUAAAUAGCGACUUAUCUAGUGAUGUCCAAAGUCCACCAGCGGUCGCUUUAGCCCAACAAGAGGCAGUGACUUUGCGAUCACUUCUGGGAGUACAUUAUCAAACGCUUCUUCGAUAACUAGAAACGUAUCUAGCGUAAGGUCCUUAGGCGCCAGCGCUUUUUCGAUACGGGGAUCAAUUGGGGUUUAGUGUGGAGCAAAGGAAGAGUGUGGUUAGUUGAGUGGGUUUAAGGGGUCCUAUGAAGGGAUGGUAAUGUCAUACUGGCUAUGAUGGACUCUGUAUAACAGUACGGAACAUAUGUUGCAUACUACAGCGUCAAGUCUGGAGAGGUAGGAGCCUAAUCUGAAAUAGCAUCCAGAGUGUAAUUGUGCCAGACACCACACAGACCAGGGUCUCUCAAGGUAGCUGAAGUUACUUCCCAGCAAUAUGAAGGAUGUGAUUGAACUUCGUUGAGGGCAUGAGUUGAUGGAGAUUGUGGUAGUCUGCCUGUGAAUGUCGUUAAUUGCCUGUUCUGGCGCCAUUAAAAGGCAUUUCGUAGCUUCGUUCACUGCGAACUACUACUCCCUGAAGACCAAACUGUCCCGGUCUUGUUUAAAAGUUACCAGGCUAGACUACGUGAAGUGAAGAAGCGAUCUAAAUCGGACGUUAGUAUCGAAUAGUUGUCAGCAAAAUAUGAUUUCAUGCUUCACCCAACAACCAAAUUUAAAAAAAAUAAAUAAAAUAAAAUAAAAGUAUUUUUUAAGACUAACAACUAACAUAACAUUUACAAACUUUUUACGCCAGUUAAUUUUUUGUAUAAAUUAUGAUACAACAUUUCGCCUGUGUUGCCGCGUUUUAUUUUUACAAAAAAUAUAAUUAAAUUAUUAAAUUAACUAAUAAGAGUACAUCUACAUAUAGUAUAUAGUUUAUAUGUAAUGCUUUUUUACUAUUUCAUUUUUUCACUACAUAGGUAUGUUGU